CAGUCGCCACGGUAAUACGUAGGUGGCAAGCGUUGUCCGGAAUUAUUGGGCGUAAAGGGCUCGCAGGCGGUUUCUUAAGUCUGAUGUGAAAGCCCCCGGCUCAACCGGGGAGGGUCAUUGGAAACUGGGAAACUUGAGUGCAGAAGAGGAGGGCGGAAUUCCACGUGCAGCGGUGAAAUGCGUAGAGAUGUGGAGGAACACCAGUGGCGAAGGCGACUCCCUGGUCUGUAACUGACGCUGAGGAGCGAAAGCGUGGGGAGCGAACAGGAUUAGAUACCCCAGUAGUCCCUGUCUCUUAUAA
RNAcentral lists this ribosomal RNA (301 nucleotides) under uncultured bacterium. RNAcentral describes it as "partial 16S ribosomal RNA". It matches the Rfam family "Bacterial small subunit ribosomal RNA", at positions 509 to 809 of the family's 1533-position model. The record is from RNAcentral.